This is a non-coding RNA of Fundulus heteroclitus (mummichog), 384 nucleotides long. The record is from the annotation of a RefSeq genome assembly. NCBI's taxonomy places the organism in Eukaryota, Metazoa, Chordata, Actinopteri, Cyprinodontiformes, Fundulidae.
AUGACUUUGAUCUGCAUCCUCAUCUGGACUCUCCUCUGCUGCUGCUUCACAGAGUCCAGAGGUCAGGUCACAGUGACUCAGCCCGCAGCAGUGAGAGCUGAUCUGGGAGGUUCUGCCACCAUCAGCUGUACAAGUAGUCAUGAGUUUUGGGGCUGCAGCAGUGCUUAUUGUUUAGCUUGGUACCAACAAAAAGAUGGAGAAACUCCAAAACCGCUGAUCUACUACACCAAUCAACUCAUGUCAGGGGUUCCAGGUCGCUUUUCAGGCAGUGGAUCUAGGAGUGACUUCACUCUGACCAUCAGUGGAGUUCAGGCUGAAGAUGCUGCAGUUUAUUACUGUCAGGGUGUUAACACAGUCAACAGCCAGACCGUGUUCACACAGUGA